Molecule: ribosomal RNA, 497 nt
Filed under: uncultured bacterium
Lineage: Bacteria
Description: partial 16S ribosomal RNA
Rfam family: Bacterial small subunit ribosomal RNA
Source: RNAcentral
GAUGAACGCUGGCGGCGUGCCUAAUACAUGCGAGUCGAGCGAACAGACGAGGAGCUUGCUCCUCUGACUUUAGCGGCGGACGGGUGAGUAACACGUGGAUAACCUACCUAUAAGACUGGGAUAACUUCGGGAAACCGGAGCUAAUACCGGAUAAUAUAUUGAACCGCAUGGUUCAAUAGUGAAAGACGGUUUUGCUGUCACUUAUAGAUUGAUCCGCGCCGCAUUAGCUAGUUGGUAAGGUAACGGCUUACCAAGGCAACGAUGGUUAGCCGACCUGAGAGGGUGAUCGGCCACCCUGGAACUGAGACACGGUCCAGACUCCUACGGGAGGCAGCAGUAGAGAAUCUUCCGCAAUGGGCGAAAGCCUGACGGAGCAACGCCGCGUGAGUGAUGAAGGUCUUCGGAUCGUAAAACUCUGUUAUUAGGGAAGAACAAAUGUGUAAGUAACUAUGCACGUCUUGACGGUACCUAAUCAGAAAGCCACGGCUAACUACGUG